CUACGGGUCGCAGCAGUUACGAAACCUUUUCAAUGCUUUAACGAGCGAAAGGGGAAUCUGGAGUGCUCUUGCAAUGCAAGAGCUUUUGUUCUCUGAAAACAGGAGAACGAAUAAGGGCUGGGUAACACGGGUGCCAGCCACCGCGGUAAUACCCGGGGCCCGAGUGAUGGUCGUGAUUAUUUGGUUUAAAGCAUUCGUAGGCUGUUUAGAAAGUUUCUUGUGAAAUCCUCUAGUAAACUAGAGGGAGUGCAAGAAAUACUACUAGACUUGAGACUGGGAGAGGACAGCGGUACUUCUUGUGUAGGGGUUAAAUCCUUUAAUCCAAGAAGGACCACCUGUGGCGAAGGCGGCUGUCUGGAACAGGUCUGACGCUGAGGGAUGAAAGCUAGGGGAGCGAUCGGGAUUAGAUACCCCCGUAGUC
Molecule: ribosomal RNA, 421 nt
Filed under: uncultured archaeon
Lineage: Archaea
Description: partial 16S ribosomal RNA
Rfam family: Archaeal small subunit ribosomal RNA
Source: RNAcentral